GCCGCGGUAGAUCAGCCAGGGAGAUCGCACGGCUGAAGACCGUGUUGUCGUGUGUUCAAAUCACGCCCGCGGCACCA
This 77-nucleotide transfer RNA is filed under the name Candidatus Thorarchaeota archaeon. RNAcentral's name for it is "tRNA-Phe". It matches the Rfam family "tRNA". From Rfam's summary of the family: Transfer RNA (tRNA) molecules are approximately 80 nucleotides in length. Their secondary structure includes four short double-helical elements and three loops (D, anti-codon, and T loops). Further hydrogen bonds mediate the characteristic L-shaped molecular structure. tRNAs have two regions of fundamental functional importance: the anti-codon, which is responsible for specific mRNA codon recognition, and the 3' end, to which the tRNAs corresponding amino acid is attached (by aminoacyl-tRNA synthetases). tRNAs cope with the degeneracy of the genetic code in two manners: having more than one tRNA (with a specific anti-codon) for a particular amino acid; and 'wobble' base-pairing, i.e. permitting non-standard base-pairing at the 3rd anti-codon position. Lineage: Archaea; Promethearchaeati; Candidatus Thorarchaeota. The record is from RNAcentral.